Molecule: unclassified non-coding RNA, 188 nt
Filed under: Kernia pachypleura
Lineage: Eukaryota; Fungi; Ascomycota; Sordariomycetes; Microascales; Microascaceae
Description: partial internal transcribed spacer 2
Source: RNAcentral
CAGCCCUCGACCCACUAUUCGCGUAGCUGGAUCGGUGUUGGGGCACUACGGUGGAAUACCCGUAGGCUCCGAAAUGAAGUGGCGGUCCCGCCGCGGCGCCCCCAUGCGUAGUAACAUCUGCCUCGCAUCGGGAGCCCCCGGGCUAUCCGGCCUCUAAACCCCCCUCAAGCCCGCUCCGGCGGCACCAA